GGUGAAAAGCACCCCGGAAGGGGAGUGAAAUAGAACCUGAAACCGUGUGCUUACAAGUAGUCAGAGCCCGUUAAUGGGUGAUGGCGUGCCUUUUGUAGAAUGAACCGGCGAGUUACGAUUUGAUGCAAGGUUAAGCAGUAAAUGUGGAGCCGUAGCGAAAGCGAGUCUGAAUAGGGCGUUUAGUAUUUGGUCGUAGACCCGAAACCAGGUGAUCUACCCUUGGUCAGGUUGAAGUUCAGGUAACACUGAAUGGAGGACCGAACCGACUUACGUUGAAAAGUGAGCGGAUGAACUGAGGGUAGCGGAGAAAUUCCAAUCGAACCUGGAGAUAGCUGGUUCUCUCCGAAAUAGCUUUAGGGCUAGCCUCAAGUGAUGAUUAUUGGAGGUAGAGCACUGUUUGGACGAGGGGCCCCUCUCGGGUUACCGAAUUCAGACAAACUCCGAAUGCCAAUUAAUUUAACUUGGGAGUCAGAACAUGGGUGAUAAGGUCCGUGUUCGAAAGGGAAACAGCCCAGACCACCAGCUAAGGUCCCAAAAUAUAUGUUAAGUGGAAAAGGAUGUGGCGUUGCCCAGACAACUAGGAUGUUGGCUUAGAAGCAGCCAUCAUUUAAAGAGUGCGUAAUAGCUCACUAGUCGAGUGACACUGCGCCGAAAAUGUACCGGGGCUAAACAUAUUACCGAAGCUGUGGAUUGUCCUUUGGACAAUGGUAGGAGAGCGUUCUAAGGGCGUUGAAGCAUGAUCGUAAGGACAUGUGGAGCGCUUAGAAGUGAGAAUGCCGGUGUGAGUAGCGAAAGACGGGUGAGAAUCCCGUCCACCGAUUGACUAAGGUUUCCAGAGGAAGGCUCGUCCGCUCUGGGUUAGUCGGGUCCUAAGCUGAGGCCGACAGGCGUAGGCGAUGGAUAA
This 904-nucleotide ribosomal RNA is filed under the name Staphylococcus aureus. RNAcentral describes it as "partial 23S ribosomal RNA". It matches the Rfam family "Bacterial large subunit ribosomal RNA", at positions 513 to 1425 of the family's 2925-position model. Lineage: Bacteria; Bacillati; Bacillota; Bacilli; Caryophanales; Staphylococcaceae. The record is from RNAcentral.